Molecule: long non-coding RNA, 1944 nt
Filed under: Homo sapiens (human)
Lineage: Eukaryota; Metazoa; Chordata; Mammalia; Primates; Hominidae
Description: RTN4RL1 antisense RNA 1 (RTN4RL1-AS1)
Source: RNAcentral
CUAUGGUACCAACUCUUUUGCUGUGCCAGCACAGAGGUCUCCAGAGCGACUCUCCUGAAUCAGAUAGCAGGGGCUGUUUGCAGUUUCGUUUCCACGCUUCGCUGACUGGUUAGACAGUGAUCACAGGUUCGGAAGCACGAGCCUCACCACAGCGGAGGAGGCCUCCACUCUGAAGCGGGAUUCCACGCUCCUGCACCCUAAGAUCAGCUAGACUCUCUGCCUUGUUUCAUCUUCUUUCUUUUCCUAAAGAAUCACGGGGAGAACUGACCUCUCUGGGACUCAACCGUGGCUGGAAGGGGACAGGAGAAGCCCUUUCUGGAGGACAGCUGAGCCCUGCAGCUGCCAUCCUGCCUGGCAGGCUAGGGCUGGGCUGCGGGAAGGCCCCCCAGGAGGGAGGUCCGGCCACUGCACCCCGAGGAAAGGGCUGCUUUCGGCACUCUGCGUGGAGGUCCUGGCUUCUGCCGUCCCUGGAGGCUCCGUUCCCGUUUCGCCAGCUAUUUUGCUGCCUCGGCCAUCUGUUCCCUCCCUGUCAUCUCCUCUCUGCUUUAACCUUAACCACUACUUCACUGCAGAUGGUACCAGGCAGUUCUGCUCUCGACAUCCUUCACGACGCCUGGCCCUCCUUCUCAUCUCCAGCAAGUGAACCGCUCUGUCCUUUUUAAAGCCUCAUCCCAAAGACACGGCCAGAGCUUGGAGUUGGAUUCGCCCCACACAACUCCCCCUCUUUGAUGCCAUCUGCUUUCAACUCCACCACUGGCCAGGGGCAAACACCUACCCCUUCCCCUGCCUUUUCCUCCUGAGACUUCUUCUCAAACUCGGCCAAGAAGCUCUCCUGGCAUGGACAGCGUGUCUGCUCCGGGUCUCUACCUGGUCUCCAUCAACAGAGCCAUGUAACCGCCCAGAGGGCUCCAGGUCCGCAAGCUGAGGCGGAGGCCAGAAACUCUGAAGUUCACUCCUACUGUGGAGGAACGAGGGCUCGUGCUGGGAGUUUGGGUCAUGAACAGUUUCCCUGUAGAAAAUGGACCUGAACACUCUGCAGUAAGGAAUUGUUUCCCAUGCUGGCAUGGUGGGAACCGAACCAAAACACAUUUUCUAUGUUGUCUGAGCUCACAGGGAACAUCCCUCUGCUGUCCUUGCUGUUAUUCUGGCAUGCUGGUGAGAAAAUGCAUGCAUGGGCUUUACUUAGCAACUCGCUCUGCCUCUCCUCUCUGUCAGGGCGCUCCCCUAAAAUCUCUCCUCUUGACGUCUUUUUUCUGGCAUAAGGACCCGGAGCUUUGAGGAGCGCAGCAGCCCAGAAGCUCCUAAGGAGAGAAGCUGUUUUGGUGAGAUUGGUUCCACCAGGCUACAUGCCUUGACUGGGACAGAAAUGGGCUGGGAAGGCCGAAAUUUGACUUCUGCACCUGGAUUUGGGCUAAAAAGUCUCACAGCUCAGCCUCCUUGAUAAGGGUUCUUCUAUCUCCCCUCUAUACUUCCUCUGCAGCAGAAAAGAGUAUCUUGGCCGUGCAGGGAACGCUCUUCUCUCACUCUCGCCACUGGGGUUAAGGGCAGCUACAUUACUAUAGCUCCAAGUCUUGGUUGCCCCCAGAGAGAGGCAGAGAUGUAGCCUGCCCACAUCUGGACACUUGAAGACUCUCCAAACACCUAGAGGAGCUGUGGAUUCAAGUGAAGCAACCAUCUGAUGCCACCACGGUCCCUCCUUCCCUUUGCCUUCCCUUCUUCCCACAAAAGAGAAGCCCAAAUCCGCCACCAGACCAGCCCAUCUGCCCGUGGAAACCAAGGGAACCAAAUGCAUCGUACUGGGUUGCAGGCCUUAAUCUAGCUCUCGCUGAAUUAUUCAGGGAUGGCAUUAACUUAUAAAUGAGUGUGUUUGACUGAUUUUGUGGUUGAUGUACAGAUAAAGUCUAAUGAAAGACAAAAAAAAAAAAAAAAAAAAAAAAAAAAAAA